Molecule: transfer RNA, 70 nt
Filed under: Penaeus stylirostris (blue shrimp)
Lineage: Eukaryota; Metazoa; Arthropoda; Malacostraca; Decapoda; Penaeidae
Description: tRNA-Leu
Rfam family: tRNA
About the family: Transfer RNA (tRNA) molecules are approximately 80 nucleotides in length. Their secondary structure includes four short double-helical elements and three loops (D, anti-codon, and T loops). Further hydrogen bonds mediate the characteristic L-shaped molecular structure. tRNAs have two regions of fundamental functional importance: the anti-codon, which is responsible for specific mRNA codon recognition, and the 3' end, to which the tRNAs corresponding amino acid is attached (by aminoacyl-tRNA synthetases). tRNAs cope with the degeneracy of the genetic code in two manners: having more than one tRNA (with a specific anti-codon) for a particular amino acid; and 'wobble' base-pairing, i.e. permitting non-standard base-pairing at the 3rd anti-codon position.
Source: RNAcentral
GUUGCUUUGGCAGAGUUAUGCAUUGGACUUAGGAUCCAAUAAUGUGGGUGUUAAUCCCACAGGUAAUACU